RNAcentral lists this transfer RNA (75 nucleotides) under Candidatus Coprosoma intestinipullorum. RNAcentral describes it as "tRNA-Cys". It matches the Rfam family "tRNA". From Rfam's summary of the family: Transfer RNA (tRNA) molecules are approximately 80 nucleotides in length. Their secondary structure includes four short double-helical elements and three loops (D, anti-codon, and T loops). Lineage: Bacteria; Bacillati; Bacillota. The record is from RNAcentral.
GGGUCUAUAGCCAAGUGGUAAGGCGUGGGACUGCAACUCCCUGAUGCGUUGGUUCAAAUCCGACUAGGCCCUCCA